Molecule: long non-coding RNA, 114 nt
Filed under: Propithecus coquereli (Coquerel's sifaka)
Lineage: Eukaryota; Metazoa; Chordata; Mammalia; Primates; Indriidae
Description: Nuclear enriched abundant transcript 1 conserved region 2 (ENSPCOG00000025617.1)
Rfam family: Nuclear enriched abundant transcript 1 conserved region 2
Source: RNAcentral
CCCUUUGGACUUUUCUCUAGGUUUGGUGCUAAACUCUUCUGUGAACUCACUCUACCCCUCUCCUCCCUUUAACUCUCUCGAGGGUGUCAUUCACUUAAAACCGUUGCCUCUGGU